UGUAUGGUUAAGUGACUAAGCGUACACGGUGGAUGCCUGGGCAGUCAGAGGCGAUGAAGGACGUACUAACUUGCGAUAAGCGCAGAUAAGGCAGUAAGAGCCGUUUGAGUCUGCGAUUUCCGAAUGGGGAAACCCAACUGCAUAAGCAGUUACUGUUAACUGAAUACAUAGGUUAACAGAGCAAACCGGGGGAACUGAAACAUCUAAGUACCCCGAGGAGAAGAAAUCAACCGAGAUUCCGGUAGUAGCGGCGAGCGAACCUGGAUUAGCCCUUAAGCACUCGGUGAAGUAGGUGAACAAGCUGGAAAGCUUGGCGAUACAGGGUGAUAGCCCCGUAACCGACGCUUCAUCGAGCGUGAAAUCGAGUAGGGCGGGACACGUGAUAUCCUGUCUGAAUAUGGGGGGACCAUCCUCCAAGGCUAAAUACUCCUGACUGACCGAUAGUGAACCAGUACCGUGAGGGAAAGGCGAAAAGAACCCCUGUGAGGGGAGUGAAAUAGAACCUGAAACCGUGUACGUACAAGCAGUAGGAGCACCUUCGUGGUGUGACUGCGUACCUUUUGUAUAAUGGGUCAGCGACUUAUAUUCAGUGGCAAGGUUAACCGUAUAGGGGAGCCGUAGCGAAAGCGAGUCUUAACUGGGCGCUCAGUCUCUGG
This 656-nucleotide ribosomal RNA is filed under the name Vibrio cholerae. RNAcentral describes it as "partial 23S ribosomal RNA". It matches the Rfam family "Bacterial large subunit ribosomal RNA", at positions 1 to 706 of the family's 2925-position model. Lineage: Bacteria; Pseudomonadati; Pseudomonadota; Gammaproteobacteria; Vibrionales; Vibrionaceae. The record is from RNAcentral.